GUGGCUUAUUUUUCUCACUUACUUUAUGGUGUCUUUGGUUGAAUAGAAGUUCUUAAUUUUAAUAUAUAGAAAUUUAUCAAUCUUUUCUGAAUAGUGCUUUUUGUGUCUUGCUAAACAAAUCCUUCCCAAAGGUCAUGAUGUUAUUUUCCUGUAUUGUCUUCUAAAACCUUUACAAUUUUCUUUCAUAUUUAGGUCUCUAAACCUUCCAGGAAUUGGUUUUUCCAGAUGACAUAAAAAUAGGAGUUAAGUUAAAUUUUUCCAUUUGAAUACCCUGUUGUUUUCAGCAUCACACAUUAAGGAGUGCAUUCUUUCCCUCUGAUCCACAGCGCGACCUCUGUGUGUCCCCCCUGGUUGUUUGUGGGGUUUUCCUUCAGCGCUGGUCUUUGUGCCCACGCGGCUCUGUCUUCAUCUCUCUGGUGCAUAAGGAGACUUGGCAUCAGGAAGGCAAAUCCUUCCACCACGGCCUAUUGGGAAUAUCCUGCUGCUUGUGGCUCUCUGCACGUCUCUGUUAAUUUCGAGUCAGCUUAUUCAGUUUACACGCCACAAUCAAAACUGCUGGGCUUUUCAUUAAAAUUGUUCCUGUUCUACAAAUUAGGAACCCUGACGGGUGUGUCAUGGCUCCCAGCAACUGCCCAUUCAGGCAACCGUCUGCUUCUGUGAGCCAGCAUCGCGACACCCCUGAGUAGUCACAAGUGACCUGAAUUAUCUCAUUACAUCAAGACACCAGAUCUGCAUGUGACAAAAUGUUUACAAAAAGCAACUGCAGGGUGGGAGGUUGUGUUUUCUACAGAGGGAGAUCUCAAUCCUGAUUAAGAAAAAUGUAGAGAAAUGAUAAAAUAAACACUUGAACAUUUUGGUACCUCUCUGGGCUAGGGCUGAACCUUGGUGCUGGUCCGAAUCACUCCAGAGCGGGGGAGCCCUCCUGGAAUGCCGCCAAGAAUUGAAGAAGGGCUCUUUAGAGAACUCACGAAAUGCUAAAAUAUUUCAUUCUGUCCUCAGUUUAAUUCUCUCAUGUAAGCUUGGAGCAGUUUUUAGUAAAAGAAGAAAUCUGACUGUCUGAAAUCUAAGACCAAAACUCAGCUUCAAGUGACAUGACUGCAGGUUGCAGAACUCCCUCAAGUCUCCCAGAGCGAGUGCCUAUGGCCAGCAUCCGGCAGGUCGCCUCUGCCUCACAGCAGCUGGGACCUGGAGACACACAGGCAUCCGGGAAGUUCUCUCGUGGACUUUUCAGGGAACUUCACAUUCUCAGGCUCUCUCCAUGGACUGUGACCCUCACCCAGGCGACAGCAGCUGGGCAGCUGGUCUAGAUGAUCCCCACAGGGACCGUGACAGCGCCGGUGGCCCAGCAGAAACUCCUGCAGCAGCGGGCUGUGAGGACAGCAGCGGCAGCCCACUGCAGGCGUCUAGUGUCCCACCAGUGCAGAGCAACAGUGCUGGGUCUUGAAAGCCAGUUAGGACUUCUCUGUUAGUGUACAGGGUUUUGCACAUCACAGGAGCCCUUUGGCGGUGCAGUGAAUCAUAAAACAGACUUUAUGAAGCUAGAACAUGGUCUUUGACAGAACCUGCGUCUGCUUGGCUCUUUAUACCUGACUGGAAAGGCAUCAUGGUCCUGAGACAGGAGAGAGACGGACUAUGGUAGAUCAUUUCAGGUCAGAGGAAGCCAGUGUGGUUUUUCCCUUCCCUCCUAAAAUGUGACUUGUUUGAACUUUGAAAGAAAAUGUUUAGUACUGACGCCCACCGAAGCACAUUCACGAUGUGUUCUCGGCUUGUGUCGAGGGGAAAUAAUCUGUGAUUGAGUUUUCAUCCCAAAGAGCAGCCAGUGUGGCUUCCCCAGAGCCUCCCCCGUGUGACUUGCUUCCAUGGAAACACAGCCUUCGGGACUGCUCCUCUUCCCAGCACAUCCGCGGUAUUUCCCAGCUUUUGGAUGAAGCUCGUGUUUGGACUCAGUGCACUGAAGCAGCUCCGGUGAACGUGUGAGGCUCCCGUCUCGGGUGGUGUGGGGCCCAGAGCACAGCUCAAGUGUUGUUCUGUUGCAGACGUCACUGCUGAGUGCAGGGCCGGCUGAGACCACCAACUCAUCAACCAGGCCCGCAGAGAUGUCGGAUAGGCGAUCUUUUGACGUCAAGAGGCUAAAAACUCCACCCUCUGAUCAUGCUAACGCCGACAUUUUGUGAACAUGGGUCCUAUGAAGAGGCAUGGAGUCUGACUACGCUUGCGCAGCUCAUCAUUACCUCACCUCUCCUCCCCUCCAAUCACCUCUCUCCACACUUCAGACCACCUUGCCCCCAUCCCAUAAAUAUCCCUGAGUCCCUAUUUUCAGGGAAGUGGAUUUGAGGCUCAUGCUCU
RNAcentral lists this long non-coding RNA (2346 nucleotides) under Equus caballus (horse). Its description in RNAcentral is "lncRNA (ENSECAG00000052204.1)". The record is from RNAcentral. Lineage: Eukaryota; Metazoa; Chordata; Mammalia; Perissodactyla; Equidae.